Cryptotermes secundus is the source of this 1148-nucleotide long non-coding RNA. RefSeq lists it as uncharacterized. Lineage: Eukaryota; Metazoa; Arthropoda; Insecta; Blattodea; Kalotermitidae. The transcript has 9 exons. The record is from RefSeq and is a predicted model, not a curated record.
AGGUUGGAUAUGACGUCAAAAUUUUCUGCUCAUUUCUUGUUCCUGCGGUUUCGAACCCCGCCCCUCUCUGCCCAACUCUGCUCUGUAGAUCACGUGUUCCGACAUGUUUGGUUCUUAGGGUUGGACGUCAGUCUGUCUGCGGCAACGGGUUGGGCAAGGCAAGAACAGUGUUAAUGGGCAAACGUUGCUACAAAUCUGAUUAAAACCCUACUGGAAACAUGAUUUCAGAAAUGUCACAUCAGGUUAAUGCAAUGAUGGAAACACAAGUCACAGAUUUCACAUCAUGUACUGUACAGUGUGGUGAGCUGAAUAAGUCAUCUUUAUGAAUUGUCAUUAAUGUUCCUAUCACUCAUCAUUUGCAGGGAACAUCUGUGUUAAUGGGUCUUCAUUGCUGCUACGCAGGAUAAAAUACAUAUGAAAAAAGCAUUUGGAAAUUUUUGAUUCAGGGGCGACACCACUGUUGAUGAACCUACAAUUCUCCCACUCAGGGUAGUACAAUCCUCAAAAAAUAAAUGCAGCGAUUUCACGUCAGGCAACAUCAGUGUGGAUGAGCCUUCAUUUCUCAAAGUCAGGUUAACACAGUGUUGGAGGCAUGAAUUUGGAGAUUUCGUGUGAGGCAACAUCAGUGUGGAUGAGCCUUCGUUCCUUCCAGUUAUGUUAAUACAAUAUUUGGAACAUGAAUUUGAUAGAUAUCACAUUAGGUUUUAUACAAUGUGGUAGAAGGCAGGUUUAUUUUCAGACGUGCAGAGUAUUGCAGAUCCAUCGGAUGAGAGCUCAGACAGUCAGGAACCAGCCAGUGGUCAAAAGUAGCUCAGGUGUGACAAAUAAUCUUCUGUCUUCCAAUUAGUCUAUUGGUCCAAUGAACUCAACUGCAAAUGUAAUUGAAGUGAGGCAGAAUGUGCAGGGGGUGAGACAGCCAUAGUUUUUACGAGAUGUAGAAAAGGAAAUAUAUUGAGCUUUAGUGGAAAAUAGAAAAGUUAUGAAGAAUUCAAAUGCUCAUAGGAAGGAGUAGGAGCAUGCAUUUGAUGAGAGAGUACCAGAAAUUAGUGGCGCUUCAUUCAUUCCAUUCAUUUCUUGUAUAUUCCAUAAAUCCAUAUACAUAGAUAUAGAACCAGUCACAUAGUUAAUAUAGUAAAAUACAAAUAUAA